GAGGGUAUAGCUCAGUGGCAGAGUGCAUGCUUAACUUGCAUGGGGUUCUAGGUUCAAUCCCCAGUGCCUCCU
This 72-nucleotide transfer RNA is filed under the name Camelus bactrianus (Bactrian camel). It matches the Rfam family "tRNA". Rfam says of the family: Transfer RNA (tRNA) molecules are approximately 80 nucleotides in length. Their secondary structure includes four short double-helical elements and three loops (D, anti-codon, and T loops). Further hydrogen bonds mediate the characteristic L-shaped molecular structure. tRNAs have two regions of fundamental functional importance: the anti-codon, which is responsible for specific mRNA codon recognition, and the 3' end, to which the tRNAs corresponding amino acid is attached (by aminoacyl-tRNA synthetases). tRNAs cope with the degeneracy of the genetic code in two manners: having more than one tRNA (with a specific anti-codon) for a particular amino acid; and 'wobble' base-pairing, i.e. permitting non-standard base-pairing at the 3rd anti-codon position. Lineage: Eukaryota; Metazoa; Chordata; Mammalia; Artiodactyla; Camelidae. RNAcentral also lists the same sequence under 2 other names. The record is from Rfam by way of RNAcentral.